CAGACACCAGCCUGUCAAUGCCAGCCAUCCUCAGCCACAGUAUAAAGAUAGUGCUGAUUCCGUCCAGAAAUACCUGCUGGCCAUCGGAGGCAGGCUGUGCUGGGGCAGGGAGCCCCGGGGGAGAGAGGUGACUCAGGCAAGCCCCGCCCUGCCGGAGCCCAUGCACAGGAGCAGCCCUGAGCCGGGACUGCAGAGAGCCGGGCCAGGAGGUGGCCAGGUGCUGGGGAAGGCUACCAGGAGGAGGCAGCAUUGGAGCUAGCCUGGGCGGAGGCCAAGAGGGGAUCGGGUACAGCGGCAGAGGUGACAAGUGUGCGAGCUUGGGGCACACGGAAGCCCCAUGUGGCUGCAGGGCAGUAUCCCACGGGACAGCAAGGAGGAGACACCUGCCAGCUUCCUGGUCCUUGAUGCAGACCAGAAAAAAGGAAGAGGAGGAAGAGAAGGAGGAGGAAGAGGAAGAAGAGAAGGAAGAAGAGGAAGAAGAGAUGGAAGAAGGGGAAAGGAGAUCUGGAGCUGUCUCUUUAAAUCUUUCUAGAAGUCCAACAGGAAUAGAACAUUUAUCUGUGUGAAGGCUACACAGGCUUAACUAAAAAUGUCAAGUUUCUUUGCUGGAAUUUUAACAGGGAACAUGAUAAGUGUACAUUUAUUCAGUAAUGAUCAAUUCCGGGUUCUCUUUUGUAUGAGAUGAAAUGGUGACAUGCUGCUCAGAAGCUCUGCUUGGUUUUGUUUCAUACAAAAUCACCUCUUGAAGUUAUAAUUGCUGGAUGAAUGUUAUCUGAUUGUCCUAAACUCUUGCUCUUCUCUCUGUGUUGUGUGCCCUGGGGAGAGGCUACAAAGAUGGGAUAAUAAAAAAGUAAAAUGUUUGCUUUAAAAAAAUUUUUUUUUUUAAUUUUUUUUUUU
This 897-nucleotide long non-coding RNA is filed under the name Heterocephalus glaber (naked mole-rat). RNAcentral describes it as "lncRNA (ENSHGLG00100039046.1)". The record is from RNAcentral. Lineage: Eukaryota; Metazoa; Chordata; Mammalia; Rodentia; Bathyergidae.